GUUACACGAGCACACUGUCCCAUUCAUCGAUUCACAUUGCCACGUUGAUUUCAUGUACAACCAAAUGGUUCAUAAUAAUCCGAAUUCAUCACUCAGUCAUGGCCUAUCGCAUUGGAUUCAUCGAUAUCCAUAUGGAUUUCCGAAAUCUUUUUAUGGAGUCAUUGCGAAUUUCAUUAAACCUUCGCUUUUUGUUGUGAAUGAUGGUGGUGGUGGAAAUGGAUAUGAUAUAGAUUGGAUUAUAAAUGAAAUUGAAUCGAAUAUCUACUUGGGAACCACUUGGGGAUGUCAUCCACAUUAUGCACAAGAGUAUGUGUCACUUCUUGGUGUAGUUUGUAGUCUGGCAGACCCAAUUUUUUUAAAACGUUUUAGUGAAAGAAGUUGAAGUGAAAAUUAAAAAUUUUUUUUUUUUGAAAAUUGAAAAAAAAAACAUAAUUUUUCGGCUAUUCUUUUUGGAAAAAAAUAAUAAAAAUCGAAUUUAAUACAUUUUUCAAUUUUUUUUUGCAAAGAAAAUUUGCAAGUUUAACCUUUUUUUAUUAAAAAUGUACAGAAAAUGCACCUUGAAAUUAAAAAAAAAUCAAUUUUUUCCUCCUAAAUUGAUAUUUCUCACUGAAUUGUUUGGCUUUCAGGGGAAUGUUCUAAAAUAGUCAAAAAAUCACUUUAAAUAAUGAAAAAAAACACAUAAUUUUUGGAACUGAUUUUUCCACCAAAAUUUUGAAAAAAAAAAUCCUUUUUCCCCAAAAAUUAAAAAUUUUUUGCACUUUUUCCCAAUUUUCUUUAAAAAAAACGGGAAAAUUUCUCCAAAACUCGUUAAAAACCCAAAUUUUCGAAAUAUCCGAUGGGUCUGCUACCGUUUUUUUGUAGUUUGUAGCCUAGCAGACCGAUCUACAGAAUUUAAAAAUUCGACAAAAGAUAAUAUCAGAUUGCUUUGGCGAGGAUUUUUAUUUUAUACACACUGAUUAUUUAAAAAUUGAACAAAAAAGUUGUAGUUUGUAGUUUGUAGGCCUGCUAGACUACAAACUACAAUUUUCUGUCGAAAAUGUUCUAUGACGUAUGCCAAACUACAAACUACACAUGCUUUUGUAGUUUGUAGUCUAUCAUCAAAUAAUUACAGAUGGGCUUCAAAAGACAUCUUCUGGCAGACGCUUGAGCACAUUUUAUCGAAUGCAGCCACGUGGAAGGUGUUGGCCGUCGGAGAGUGUGGACUAGAUUUACACCGUUGUAUAUCGGAUCUAGAAGUACAGAAAAUGGUAUUUGAGAAGCAUAUCGAUUUGGCAUACAAGUAUCAAUUACCAUUAGUCAUUCACUGCAGAAGUGGACAAAAAGGACGUGCAGAAGAACAAUGCCUGCGUAUUUUGAAGAAG
RNAcentral lists this small RNA (1361 nucleotides) under Caenorhabditis elegans. RNAcentral's name for it is "Unclassified non-coding RNA Y37H2A.20". The record is from RNAcentral. Lineage: Eukaryota; Metazoa; Nematoda; Chromadorea; Rhabditida; Rhabditidae.